This 490-nucleotide ribosomal RNA is filed under the name uncultured bacterium. RNAcentral's name for it is "partial 16S ribosomal RNA". It matches the Rfam family "Bacterial small subunit ribosomal RNA", at positions 30 to 507 of the family's 1533-position model. The record is from RNAcentral.
AUUGAACGCUGGCGGCAGGCCUAACACAUGCAAGUCGAACGGUAACAGGAAGCAGCUUGCUGCUUCGCUGACGAGUGGCGGACGGGUGAGUAAUGUCUGGGAAGCUGCCUGAUGGAGGGGGAUAACUACUGGAAACGGUAGCUAAUACCGCAUAAUGUCGCAAGACCAAAGAGGGGGACCUUCGGGCCUCUUGCCAUCGGAUGUGCCCAGAUGGGAUUAGCUUGUUGGUGGGGUAACGGCUCACCAAGGCGACGAUCCCUAGCUGGUCUGAGAGGAUGAGCAGCCACACUGGAACUGAGACACGGUCCAGACUCCUACGGGAGGCAGCAGUGGGGAAUAUUGGACAAUGGGCGCAAGCCUGAUGCAGCCAUGCCGCGUGUAUGAAGAAGGCCUUCGGGUUGUAAAGUACUUUUAGCGGGGAGGAAGGGAGUAAAGUUAAUACCUUUGCGCAUUGACGUUACCCGCAGAAGAAGCACCGGCUAACUCCGUG